This 468-nucleotide ribosomal RNA is filed under the name uncultured bacterium. RNAcentral's name for it is "partial 16S ribosomal RNA". It matches the Rfam family "Bacterial small subunit ribosomal RNA", at positions 28 to 507 of the family's 1533-position model. The record is from RNAcentral.
GACGAACGCUGGCGGCGUGCUUAACACAUGCAAGUCGAACGGAAAGGCCCUGCUUUUGUGGGUUGCUCGAGUGGCGAACGGGUGAGUAACACGUGAGUAACCUGCCCUUGACUUUGGGAUAACUUCAGGAAACUGGGGCUAAUACCGGAUAGGAGCUCCUGCUGCAUGGUGGGGGUUGGAAAGUUUCGGCGGUUGGGGAUGGACUCGCGGCUUAUCCGCUUGUUGGUGGGGUAGUGGCUUACCAAGGCUUUGACGGGUAGCCGGCCUGAGAGGGUGACCGGCCACAUUGGGACUGAGAUACGGCCCAGACUCCUACGGGAGGCAGCAGUGGGGAAUAUUGCACAGUGGGCGGAAGCCUGAUGCAGCAACGCCGCGUGCGGGAUGACGGCCUUCGGGUUGUAAACCGCUUUCGCCUGUGACGAAGAGUGAGUGACGGUAAUGGGUAAAGAAGCACCGGCUAACUACGUG